This 69-nucleotide transfer RNA is filed under the name Sarcina sp. DSM 11001. It matches the Rfam family "tRNA". Rfam says of the family: Transfer RNA (tRNA) molecules are approximately 80 nucleotides in length. Lineage: Bacteria; Bacillati; Bacillota; Clostridia; Eubacteriales; Clostridiaceae. The record is from Rfam by way of RNAcentral.
GAGAAUGUGGUGUAAUGGCAACACACUGCGCCAGGGACGCAGAGACGCGGUUCGAAUCCGACAUUUUCA